AGAUCUGAGAGAGUUAAAGAAGCUGCUGGAAGAAGAGCGAGACCAAAGGCUGACCGCUGAGAAUGCACUCUCCCUGGCCAAGGAGCAGAUCAGACGGUAAGGCGUGCGGCGGCCCCUCCUGCUCACACCUCAGCCUCCUGGCCUUGCUGCUGCCCCUUUCUGUGGCCAGGCUCAGGGUGAGUUGACAUGGUCAACUCAGUGCCCUUGACAUGCUCAGAUGAUGAUUUCAUUAUAUCGUCAAAAAGCAGGGCACUCCUGGAGUUUCAGAGGCCUGUGCCUUCCUGGUUGAUAGCUCCUAGAGGUUGGUAAUAUGUUUACCAUUCAUAUUAUACAAGGAAGCUGUGAAAGGUGUCUCACUUUAGCCCAACAACUAUGUGAGUACAUGUUGGGUUCUUGUGUGUCUGUGUCUUUGUGUCAUGUGGGGAGCAGGGAGACAGUGUCCGAGAUCAUUAGAUGUCUUGGCUUAUUAUCACUCUCUAUUUUAUUCCCUUGAGACACAGUCUCUCAUUGAGCCUGAUAGUUGCCUUUGUUAGUGACCAGCGAGCCUUUAGCCAUCCCCCUGCCUCCAUAGUGCUGGGGUUGCAGGUGUGCACAGUCAGGCCAGCUUCUACAUGGGUGCUGAGGAGCUCAGUGCAUAUCGUCAUGCUUGUAAUACAAGCACUGUUACCCACUGGGCCAUCUCCAGGGCCCUAGUGUCAGAUUCUUUAAAGAAUCGAAUAAAUGCAUUCUCAUUACCUUAUAUACCUGAUACCCAGACGUUUGUUUGUUUGUUUGUUAGUUUUGAGACACAGUCUCUCUGUGUAGCUCUGGCUGGCCUAAAUCUCAGUUUGUAGACUAGGCUGGUUUUGAACUCACAGAGAUCUACCUGCCUCUGCCUCUGCCUCCCGAGUGCUAUGAUUAAAGGACUGAGGCAGCAAACAUAGCCAACUGAAGUUUUACAGAAUGUAACCUAAGGAAGAAUAAAAGGCCCCUUAAGAAACAGUAUGUGACUGAUUUAUGAGCGAACACACUGCCUAAGCCUGACCUUCCCCUGCCAGUGACAGGUUUGCUGGUACCUUCGUUGUGUCUGCAAGAGCAAGCCACUGUGUCUGAUGCCUCUCCUCAGAACACAUGGUGGUGCCCUCCCCAGGGAGCAGGUCUUAGCUGAGAUUUCUUGUUUUCCUAUCCAGUAUAUUCACAGCUGUUGUGUUUUCAACACCUGUGUAAGUAGCUUUGAGCAUGGGCUCUGCAGGAGCACAGUGCAGCAUGGUGUAGUGGCCUUGCAAAGAUUUCCAGGCCUAUUUGUUCAUGGCCAUUUCUAGGCCACUUACGAAAUUGUUUAGAUCUAUGAUACCUGGCCCCUGAGGUUAAUCCCCUCAUCUGGACAACUUGAGACAGCUUAGUCAGGAUGACUCUGGAGCCUGUGUCUGGACCACGUCAAUUAAGGUUAGCCCCUCCCACUUUCCUUCUGGUGGAGAUCGGAAGGAGAGCCAGGUGACAAACUGAGGAUAGGCCACCAAGACCCAGUUCAGAUCAAGGCAUUUCCUCUCUGCUGAAGAAGAGAGUGGCCCCCAGACAGAGGUCGUAUUCAGCUGAUAGAGUCCCUGUGGGGACGAGACACUCACAGUGAAGACGUGUGGUUUGGGGCUGAUGAGUGAUGAGCUGUGGCCUUGCCCUGUUGUCCUCGGAGGCCACUAAGCGAUGGCAGUGUCUCGUUAAGGGAAAAUUUCCAAAAUGAAGUAAUAAGCAAAUCAACAGAAAGUAAAACAGGAAGCUGCCAAGGCCUCUAAGAGCCCUAAAGAAUUUCUUGAGUGCUUUUGCCUAGUAUAAGUUUAAAAAAAGG
This 1822-nucleotide long non-coding RNA is filed under the name Mus musculus (house mouse). RNAcentral describes it as "long non-coding RNA chr16:36929294-36931116". The record is from RNAcentral. Lineage: Eukaryota; Metazoa; Chordata; Mammalia; Rodentia; Muridae.